This 567-nucleotide ribosomal RNA is filed under the name Streptococcus thermophilus. RNAcentral describes it as "bacterial SSU rRNA". It matches the Rfam family "Bacterial small subunit ribosomal RNA", at positions 359 to 917 of the family's 1533-position model. The record is from RNAcentral. Lineage: Bacteria; Bacillati; Bacillota; Bacilli; Lactobacillales; Streptococcaceae.
AAUUCUUGGGCAAUGGGGGCAACCCUGACCGAGCAACGCCGCGUGAGUGAAGAAGGUUUUCGGAUCGUAAAGCUCUGUUGUAAGUCAAGAACGGGUGUGAGAGUGGAAAGUUCACACUGUGACGGUAGCUUACCAGAAAGGGACGGCUAAUUACGUGCCAGCAGCCGCGGUAAUACGUAGGUCCCGAGCGUUGUCCGGAUUUAUUGGGCGUAAAGCGAGCGCAGGCGGUUUGAUAAGUCUGAAGUUAAAGGCUGUGGCUCAACCAUAGUUCGCUUUGGAAACUGUCAAACUUGAGUGCAGAAGGGGAGAGUGGAAUUCCAUGUGUAGCGGUGAAAUGCGUAGAUAUAUGGAGGAACACCGGUGGCGAAAGCGGCUCUCUGGUCUGUAACUGACGCUGAGGCUCGAAAGCGUGGGGAGCGAACAGGAUUAGAUACCCUGGUAGUCCACGCCGUAAACGAUGAGUGCUAGGUGUUGGAUCCUUUCCGGGAUUCAGUGCCGCAGCUAACGCAUUAAGCACUCCGCCUGGGGAGUACGACCGCAAGGUUGAAACUCAAAGGAAUUGACGGG